GUGCUUGCUUUGGCAGCACAUAUACUAAAAUUGGAACAAUACAGAAAGAUUAGCAUGGCCCCUCUGCAAAGGAUAACAUGAAAAUUUGUGAAGUGCUCCAUAUUUUA
Molecule: small nuclear RNA, 107 nt
Organism: Onychomys torridus (southern grasshopper mouse)
Lineage: Eukaryota; Metazoa; Chordata; Mammalia; Rodentia; Cricetidae
Source: RefSeq, a predicted model, not a curated record